AGGAUUAUAGUUUAAUUAAAACAUUUGAUUUGCAUUCAAAAUAUAUUGGCUUCAAUUUAUCUUA
Molecule: transfer RNA, 64 nt
Filed under: Papilio dardanus dardanus
Lineage: Eukaryota; Metazoa; Arthropoda; Insecta; Lepidoptera; Papilionidae
Description: tRNA-Ala
Rfam family: tRNA
About the family: Transfer RNA (tRNA) molecules are approximately 80 nucleotides in length.
Source: RNAcentral